Molecule: ribosomal RNA, 251 nt
Filed under: uncultured bacterium
Lineage: Bacteria
Description: partial 16S ribosomal RNA
Rfam family: Bacterial small subunit ribosomal RNA
Source: RNAcentral
UACAGAGGUCUCAAGCGUUGUUCGGAUUCAUUGGGCGUAAAGGGUGCGUAGGCGGCGCGGUAAGUCGGGUGUGAAAUCUUGGAGCUUAACUCCGAAACUGCAUUCGAUACUGCCGUGCUUGAGGACUGGAGAGGAGACUGGAAUUUACGGUGUAGCGGUGAAAUGCGUAUAUCGUAAGGAAGACCAGUGGCGAAGGCGGGUCUCUGGACAGUUCCUGACGCUGAAGCACGAAGGCCAGGGGAGCAAACGGG